RNAcentral lists this small RNA (72 nucleotides) under Pseudomonas moraviensis. Its description in RNAcentral is "sRNA P10". It matches the Rfam family "Pseudomonas sRNA P10". Lineage: Bacteria; Pseudomonadati; Pseudomonadota; Gammaproteobacteria; Pseudomonadales; Pseudomonadaceae. The record is from RNAcentral.
CGUAUCCGACCCCACUGCUUGCCCGCUCCCCGGCCACGGCACCAACCCGAUCGCCGCCGGUUCCGGCGACGU